AAAUUCUCACUCAGUUCAAAACGAUCAGAAAAAGCCAGCAUUUUGUUACAUCGCCGGUGGCCGGAAUCAAUGGCGUCUCCGGCGAUUCAGAGAUCAACCCAUUUAUCAUCUACACCCGUAUCUUCUUCAUCUCCCCUUCAACGUCUCUCAACUUUCAAAGACAGAUCCAUCAACCCCACCCCUACUGCUACCGUUACUCCUACUCCAACCUCCGGCCUUACCCCAUUCACACCUGCCUCUUCCCCUCUCGAUUCCUUCACUUCCGAUCCCAUUUUCUCAUCCUUCCUAUCCUCCGACUUUGAUUCCACACGUUUCUCCUCCGCCGCACUUUCCUCCGGUUCUACCGCUUCACGUAUCGAGAAGCUUCAAGAAGGUCUCCGUCUCCUUGACCAUCAGCUUCGUCAUGAAGUGCUUACACGUCAUCAUGAUUUGCUCAAUCAGCUUACUUCAUUACGUGCUGCUGAAUCUGCACUUUCGACUCUUCGUUCAUCGGUUACGUCUCUUCAGUCUUCGCUACGUCGGGUCCGUUCUGAACUCUCUGAUCCUCAUCAA
This 552-nucleotide unclassified non-coding RNA is filed under the name Hevea brasiliensis (rubber tree). The record is from RNAcentral. Lineage: Eukaryota; Viridiplantae; Streptophyta; Magnoliopsida; Malpighiales; Euphorbiaceae.